GAGUUUGAUCCUGGCUCAGGACGAACGCUGGCGGCGCGCCUAACACAUGCAAGUCGAACGGGACUAUGCGAGAUGAAGUUUUCGGAUGGAAUUUUGUGUAGUUUAGUGGCGGACGGGUGAGUAACACGUGAGCAACCUGCCUUCGAGAGGGGAAUAACGGCUGGAAACGGUCGCUAAUACCGCAUAACAUACGGGAGGGACAUCCCUUUUGUAUCAAAGAUUUAUCGCUCGAAGAUGGGCUCGCGUCCGAUUAGGUAGUUGGUGAGGUAACGGCCCACCAAGCCGACGAUCGGUAGCCGGACUGAGAGGUUGAACGGCCACAUUGGGACUGAGACACGGCCCAGACUCCUACGGGAGGCAGCAGUGGGGGAUAUUGCACAAUGGGGGAGACCCUGAUGCAGCGACGCCGCGUGUAGGAAGACGGUCCUCUGGAUUGUAAACUACUGUCCCCAGGGACGAGGAUGACGGUACCUGGGGAGGAA
RNAcentral lists this ribosomal RNA (482 nucleotides) under uncultured bacterium. RNAcentral's name for it is "bacterial SSU rRNA". It matches the Rfam family "Bacterial small subunit ribosomal RNA", at positions 9 to 489 of the family's 1533-position model. The record is from RNAcentral.